RNAcentral lists this non-coding RNA (148 nucleotides) under Chlorocebus sabaeus (green monkey). Lineage: Eukaryota; Metazoa; Chordata; Mammalia; Primates; Cercopithecidae. The record is from Rfam by way of RNAcentral.
GCCAGGCAUGGUGGCCCACGCCUGUGGUCCCAGCUACUCAGGAGGCUGAGGUGGGAGGAUUGCUUGAGCUCAGGAGGUUGAGGCUGCAGUGAGCUAUGAGUGUGCCACUGGACUCCAGCCUGGGCAACAGAGCAAGACCCUGUCUCAA